GAAAACUGGGGAUACUCCGGAUAAGGCAUAUUUGCUGGACUGCUUUAUGUGUCAAAAGGAUUCGUCUGUCCAAGGAUGGGUGUGCGGCCUAUCAGGUAGUAGUGCGUGUAAUGUACGUACUAGCCAGCGACGAGUACGGGUUGUGAGAGCAAGAGCCCGGAGAUGGAUUCUGAGACAUGAAUCCAGGCCCUACGUGGCGCAGCAGGCGCGAAACCUUUCAAUGCGGGAAACCGUGAUAAGGGGACUCCGAGCGCCAGCAUCAUAUGCUGGCUGUCCGGAUGUGUAAAAUACAUCCGUUAGCAAGGGCCGGGCAAGACCGGUGCCCGCCGCCGCGGUAACACCGGCGGCCCGAGUGGUGAUCGUGAUUAUUGGGUCUAAAGGGUCCGUAGCCGGUUUGGUCAGUCCUCCGGGAAAUCUGAUAGCUCAACUAUUAGGCUUUCGGGGGAUACUGCCAGACUUGGAACCGGGAGAGGUAAGAGGUACUACAGGGGUAGGAGUGAAAUCUUGUAAUCCCUGUGGGACCACCUGUGGCGAAGGCGUCUUACCAGAACGGGUUCGACGGUGAGGGACGAAAGCUGGGGGCACGAACCGGAUUAGAUACCCGGGUAGUCCCAGCCGUAAACGAUGCUCGCUAGGUGUCAGGCAUGGCGCGACCGUGUCUGGUGCCGCAGGGAAGCCGUGAAGCGAGCCACCUGGGAAGUACGGCCGCAAGGCUGAAACUUAAAGGAAUUGGCGGGGGAGCAC
RNAcentral lists this ribosomal RNA (744 nucleotides) under uncultured methanogenic archaeon. RNAcentral's name for it is "bacterial SSU rRNA". It matches the Rfam family "Archaeal small subunit ribosomal RNA", at positions 135 to 879 of the family's 1478-position model. Lineage: Archaea; Methanobacteriati; Methanobacteriota. The record is from RNAcentral.